AUUCUUCACUCAUAGACUACCUAGCGGCCAAUGGUUUUGACCUGCUCAGCCAUAGCCACGCUCCUCCAGAGAAGUCUGCUAUUGGUGCUUUGGAUGAAGUCAUGUAUUUGAAGAGGCUAUUGGUCGGGAGUAUUAGUCUGUCAGAUGACUCUCAGACUCUUGGGGAAAAUGGAGGGACGGCCCCUGAAACCCAGGAGGCAGAUGUGGAGGAAUCCAGCACAGAAGGUAGAACUGAAGGAGAAGAGAGUGGGGGAGAUGGAGGGAAUAAAGGAGAAGAGGAAAGAGAGAUCAGCGCUCCUCUAGUGCUUUCUCAGGAACGCUUGGAGGAGGUGCAGAGGAGACUGCAGACACUUGGGGAGCAAUUGAAGAGACUGCAGGCUGUCGAGGAGGACCAUUAUAAGUUGCAAGAAGCUCUUGCUAAAUAUUCACUUCAGGGGGGCCACUACAACUGAGAAACAUCACAACCUGCUGUUACAAGGUACUACCACAUACUUAAUACAAAACCAUUUUUUUAUAUGUAUCAUCUUCAUUUUUAUAUAGCACCAUUCUUUUUGUAAGUAUAGCAAUUCAGUUUCUAUCAUCUGUCUUGUUUGUCCUCAGAUCACUGUAUGUGCUGGACUCGAGACUUGCUUUCGAGGGAUUCGCUGAUUGACUAAUUCUGCCUGAAUGUUCCUGCUCUAUCUCUUCUCUCUUCUCAACUGUCCUUUCUGAAGAUUGCCAGCUGGCCUCCAGCACUUUCCAUACCACUGAGAAAUGAAAUGAAGUGGGUGUUGUGAAAUUAUAGUGAUCCUUAACCUUGUAUGUGUUUCUGUUGAGAAGUAUGAGAGACAGUCUUGCCAAAAGAUGCCAAAGAAAUGUGCAACACCUAGAGAGAUUCCAGAGCGAAAUGCUACGAGUGCAUGUGAAAGCACUGUAACAUACACAAACAUGUGCACACACACACACAACGAUAAACCUGUCUAAGCAUGUCAAAAGUAAUUUAGUACCAAAAGACUAUCUAUAUUCAUAGAAAAGUAUAGGUGCAUCUUUGUCUGUUUCUCAGAAUAUACUUUAGUCAGGUAAUUUAAGCAGAAUAUGUGCCCUUUCAUUUUUUAUUACGCAUUUCAAGAUGUUCACGCAUCCUAAUAAUUAUUACCGUACUAUAUUACAUGUAUUUUCAAAAAUAAUAGAUAUUCAAAAGGAGAUAUGUCGAUUUUUAGCAGAGUAUUGAGCCGUUGUAGCAUGCAUUGCAGUAAAAUGGAGAGUAAAAACAUGGACUUUUUUAUUUUAACCCUGUUAUGGUUUUGAUUUGUCUUCUUACCAGAAGUUCUAUUGUUGCUCUGUGAGUGAGAAAAGAAGUGCUAAGUAGGAUAGAUCAACAGAUGGAUGAGCAGAGGAAGUAGAGAAGGUUUGAGGAAGGUGGGCUUGCUUUGUUAUGCCUAACCCCUCUGAAGUGAAAUCAAGGCAAGCAUUGAUGUCAAGAAAUGUCGUCAGGGUUUGACAUUGUGGGUGUGAGGAAAUAUGCACAUAUUACGUCGCAUUUUGAAUAACCAGCUUGCAGGAACCUCCACACGUCGGUGCUGUUAUAACGUGAAGCAUGCACAGUGUAUAGCGUUCUCUAACUCUGGUGUUGCAGAUUGUACUCUGGUAGGUCGACCCAGAUUGUAUGAUAAUCAUCACACAUUGCCUAUUUUUGUGUACUAUGCAAAUUCUGUUUUGGUGGCUGUAAAACGCAUCGGUCAUUUCAGAUAAUUACGUUUUUUUCUACCUUUAUGUUCUACAGUUCAGUUAGCAAAAUUAUAGUUUUUCCUGUAAUUGCUUGUCAUUGUUUCUCAGUUUAUUUUAUUUUAGGGAGUAGUUUUCUUUGUAAGCAGGACCAAAGAAAUGAUAUUGGUACAAAGUUUAGAUAUGAAAACACUUUUGCCUUGCAUGGGAAGGUCAGUUGUCAAUUGGAAUAACUUACUGAGGGGGUCCAAACUAGUUGCCCACCCCUUUCCAAACUCCGAGCGUUCGCCUUAGCUGCUGGAUCAACCCACAAAAAGGUGAAGUGGAUGGAUUGGCUUAUAAUCCUAUUUAAGACAGAAGGAAUUAAGUUGGUUCAGAAUUGAAUUGCAGUAUGAGUAAUAGAGAAGUAUGUUUAUUCUCAUUAUCAAUCCAUGUUUUUUUCCAGCUUAAGGGACCAGCUUUUUCUCUCCUGCUCUCCUUAUCUAAUUAUGAAACCAGACCACAGACAAUCAGGCACUUGCAGGGUUUUAAAAUGAUGUUAUAUCUCAGAGUUCAGAGACAGGAACACAAACUGUAGGUUUUUUUCACCAGUACUGUAAUUAUUUUCAUGUAUUCAUGAUGCUACUGCAACAGGUCUUUCUACCCUCGACCGACUUCCAAAUUUAUGCAACUUAUUUUACCUUAUCUGUUACAUAAUGUGAUUUAUAUUAAUUUUUACAUUGUAAUUGUGUUGACAAUAUUGAUUUCUGUAAGGCCUUGGUUCCUUUUCCUGCUGUUUUCCCAGCUGAUUUCCUUCGCAAAAUGGUUUACCAGAACAAUUUGCCAGAAGUUUUGCAUUCUGGGCAGCAGUGUUGGUCCUAGUAAAUGUCAAUAAGACCUUUUGUUCAUUUUCAUAGCCUUUUCCUUUUAGAAGUAGCAAAUGAAACGGUUUAAAGUUUGGUAAUGAAACUAUCAUGGUGCAAGAUCUGUUCUACCUACUUCACUUUCCUUCAGUCCUUUUGCACAUUUUUUUUCAUUCUCGAUUGCUUGAAUGGGUGGUUUAUUCAUUUUCUUUGAUUCUGUUCUUUUGGUUUUCUUAGAAAAUUAUGUAAUUACCAUACUAUGCAUUGCUUGUUAUAAAAGAAGGACUGAGAGAGACACAGUACACCCUUAACCAGAACAACUAUAAAAGGCUUCACUGAAUUUCGCUUUUAUGGCAAGAGUCUUAUUUUUGAUGUGGAACUAACCACAGUUUAGAUUCGGUUAGAAAGUGUGUUUCAAAUUGAGCCUUCAACUUUUGAUAACUGAUAAGACAGGGUUUUGGGUGUGGUGUCAUUCUCUCUCAUUCCUUAAACUUUUUAUAUGUAUCUGUCACAUAUAUGUAUACAUAGUGAUAUAUCUGUAUGUUUAAAUCUAUUUAUAGGGUGCCUUGUGCCGAUUGGGUUUGUUUUAAUUUCUAAAGGGCUCUUUUAGUCCAACUGACAGGCACGGGCAUACUUGCCUUCUCCUCAUUUAGCGAUGCUCAGUGUUAAAUAUGAAUCUGAUAUUUUGCUCCAGACCUGCCAAAUUAUAGCAGUUCCACUCAUUUGUUGUUCUUAAUAAUUGCCGAGUGCUUAGUACUGAGUGCUCUUUGUUAGAUCUUUUAAACCUUCUGCAAUCCAUGACUGUCUUUUAUGUAAUUCUGUGUACAGGAGUCCACUCAUUACAGGCAUUCCAUUGCUGUCUGUCUAUAUAAAUGAUUAUGCAAGGACUAUUCUGUGUAUUUGGGCUUUGAU
Long non-coding RNA from Sinocyclocheilus anshuiensis, 3458 nucleotides. NCBI's taxonomy places the organism in Eukaryota, Metazoa, Chordata, Actinopteri, Cypriniformes, Cyprinidae. The record is from Ensembl.